Podarcis raffonei (Aeolian wall lizard) is the source of this 986-nucleotide long non-coding RNA. RefSeq lists it as uncharacterized. Lineage: Eukaryota; Metazoa; Chordata; Lepidosauria; Squamata; Lacertidae. The transcript is spliced from 3 exons. The record is from RefSeq and is a predicted model, not a curated record.
UGUUUGUGGUUUUUGUUUUGCUCUGUUGUACACGGGAUCAUUUAAAAAUGGUACCCCCAUUGCAUUCUUCUGCACCUUCCUUUUAGGAUCUCAGGACAGCAAACACGGACCUUUUCCUUUUUUAUCUCCUUAACACCCAGAAAGGUGUAUUGCUUUGGCUUCCUUGGAAGUGUCAGAUUCAACUGGAUCGAGAAUAACAAGUUGAGCUUAAUGUGUCUCAGAGCAAGACUCCUGCAUUAAGAACUUGUCACAGGUGGAGCAGAGAAGAUGAGCACUGUGCUAAAAUUUCCCUUACCUUCUCUAUCAAUGAAUGAGAAGAGAAAUUGCAUUCAAAAAUCACCAAAGGAGAGGGGAAAUCUCAGUGAAAUUCUCAUAGGUGGGGUGCAGGCGUUUUGUCACUCUUAUUGAGGUGAUUGAGAGGUGUCUGCAAGGAUCCUUUCUUUUGUUCUAGAAAUGGCCUAUUUAGUGGCCAACGUUAUGCAGCCUCCCUGGGUGCCCAUGCUUAGGAACAUAGGACACUGCCUCAAACACAUAUAUAUUUGGACGCUGAUUUAUAUUCUUAUGGUCAUCCUCCACAUGAAAGGCAGCUUUGCUGUCUGCUGCAUAUAUAAGGCUUACUUAGGUUUUGACUAGUUCCAGCUGAACUAUUUAAAAUUUUAAAAGAUGGUGCUGUUAAGGUGCUACACUCAAUAUGCCAGCAAGUUUGGAAAACUCAGCAGUGGCCAGAGGAUUGGAGAAGAUCAGUCUACAUCCCAAUCCCAAAGAAGGGCAGUGCCAAAGAAUGCUCCAACUACCGCACAAUUGCACUCAUUUCACACGCUAGCAAGGUUAUGCUUAAAAUUUUACAAGGAAGGCUCAAGCAUUCUGUAGACUCAGAGCUCCCAAAAGUGCAAGCUGGAUUUCGAAGGGGCAGAGGAACCAGAGACCAAAUUGCAAACAUGCGCUGGAUUAUGGAGAAAGCUAGAGAGUUCCAGAAAGACAUCUAC